RNAcentral lists this microRNA precursor (72 nucleotides) under Medicago truncatula (barrel medic). RNAcentral's name for it is "miR5205d stem-loop (mtr-MIR5205d)". The record is from miRBase by way of RNAcentral. Lineage: Eukaryota; Viridiplantae; Streptophyta; Magnoliopsida; Fabales; Fabaceae.
AAAGGGUCUUAUAAUUAGGGACGGAGGUAGUAAUAUAUACUCUCUCCGUCCCUUUUUAUAGGAGUAGUUUAC